RNAcentral lists this ribosomal RNA (406 nucleotides) under uncultured bacterium. Its description in RNAcentral is "partial 16S ribosomal RNA". It matches the Rfam family "Bacterial small subunit ribosomal RNA", at positions 30 to 526 of the family's 1533-position model. The record is from RNAcentral.
AUUGAACGCUGGCGGCAGGCCUAACACAUGUAAGUCGAACGAGUGGCGGACGGGAGAGUAAUGUCUGUGAAACUGACUGAUGGAGGGGGAUAACUACUGGAAACGGUAGCUAAUACCGCAUACCAUCGGAUGUGCCCGGAGGGGAUUAGCUGGUUGGUGGGGUAACGGCUCACCAAGGCGACGAUCCCUAGCUGGUCGGAGAGGAUGACCAGCCACACUGGAACUGAGACACGGUCCAGACUCCUACGGGAGGCAGCAGUGGGGAAUAUUGCACAAUGGGCGCAAGCCUGAUGCAGCCAUGCCGCGUGUAUGAAGAAGGCCUUCGGGUUGUAAAGUACUUUCAGCGGGGAGGCGUUACCCGCAGAAGAAGCACCGGCUAACUCCGUGCCAGCCGCCGCGGUAAUAC